AAUCCAUGAAUCAAACAUUUUUGAACUAACUCUUUAAUUAUUCCCAAGCUUCAUAUAAUAUUUUAUCCUCUGAUUUUUGAAAAGACGUGAUGUCAUUUCUAAGCUU
Molecule: small nucleolar RNA, 106 nt
Filed under: Gossypium hirsutum (cotton)
Lineage: Eukaryota; Viridiplantae; Streptophyta; Magnoliopsida; Malvales; Malvaceae
Description: Plant small nucleolar RNA R71
Rfam family: Plant small nucleolar RNA R71
About the family: R71 is a member of the C/D box family of snoRNAs containing the C (UGAUGA) and D (CUGA) box motifs. Multiple nearly identical copies of this snoRNA have been identified in Arabidopsis, and it is thought to function as a 2'-O-ribose methylation guide for 18S ribosomal RNA.
Source: Rfam by way of RNAcentral